RNAcentral lists this long non-coding RNA (1708 nucleotides) under Marmota monax (woodchuck). Lineage: Eukaryota; Metazoa; Chordata; Mammalia; Rodentia; Sciuridae. The record is from RNAcentral.
AUUGACAGUCAGCUCUGAUGCUCAAACACCAGACAUUGUGCUCAUUGUGUGGAAUGCUUUCUUUAGGAGAGAGUGUGAUUUGCUGUUGCUUUACUAUUUGGGCCUUGUUGAAGCAGAGGAGGAUGAUAUUUAAGACCAACUGGGCAGCCGUGUUAAAUGCCCCUCAGAGGAAGAGGCCUGCUCCAAACCACAAGUUUUGAUCUCUUAGGUUCUAUCCGGUGAGAGCAGAGAAGGGGUCUGUGGCAGACAUAGUACAGGAUUAAAUUUCCCAUGGGACAGAGAAAGUUCCAGGUAGAAAUGAGGUCUGGGUGAACAGAGGACUUGGCGUUAUACACCUGAGUUUGUGUGACCAUGAACUUUGCAUUUCUGUUGCCUCCCCCAGAAAAUGUGUGCCUCAGACAGGAAUCUUGUGCACAUUCCUCGUUGGCGAGGCAUAGUGCUUUGUCUGCUGAGCCCCACUUCUGCUCCAACAGCUGGAGAGGACUCCUUUCUCCCGCUACAAGUACUCCUCCAGGGAUAGGUACAGGAGUGUAGAGGGGUGAAAAGCGUUGUCUGUGUGGAAAUUCUGGAUCCUCCAGAGGCCUGUGAGAAGAAAUGCUCUUCUUCUUGCCACCUUUUGUACUUUGAUGCAGUUAUAGGAGAGAAUCAUUAUGUGAGGAGGUUAAAAAAAAAUUGACAAACUGGAGAUGUCAGAGUGGAAGGAAGGGGAAAAGAGGUUCUUGAUGGAACUGAUUUGGCAAACUGACUCUGGGACUGUCUGUCUUAGACAAAUCACAGAUCUUUAUGGUUUGAACCACCUUUAGUAAAGUAUUUUAUUAUGUAUGGUUGGAACACAUUCCUACUGAAACCGCAUCUGGGGGAUUUGACAGUUGUCCCCCGGUCAUCAGUGGUGUUUGAAAAAGAGAGAAGUUGUGGAGAUGCAAGUCUGAUGCAAGAUUAAGAAGUAAAUGGGAAAAUUCUGUUUCUGGCAAUAUGGAGGACCAAAUAUGGAGGACCAAAUAGUCACAGAGAAAUUCUGGAAAAAUGUAACAACAUUCUUGUAAGUGCAUAACUGAGCUCAUUUAGAAAGAAGAAAAAACCGUCAGAGCUAAUCUACCUUGGGGACUGCCGUGGCUAGGAACAUGGUAGCCUUGGUAGAAUGGGCUGUAACUCCAACCAGAUAUAAAACUUAAAUAAAGUCUUGUAUUGAGAGCUGAAACUUCCAUGGCUACUUAAGAACCUUGAAGCUGUAUAUCCUUGGUGAAAAUGUGUGUGUCAUAGCUAAUUUUAUGCUCCAACUUGAGCUCCCAUGGGGUGCCCAGAUUAAACAUUAUUUCAAGGGGUGUCUAUAAGGGUGUUUCUGGUUGAGAUUUAGUUUUUAAAUUGUUACAUUACAAUUAUACAUAAGUUGGAUAUAUUUGUACAUAAACAUAAUUUGGUCAAUUUCAUUUAAUUGGUAGACUCAGUAAAGCACCUUGCCCUCCCCACAGUAGGUCCUUCACCCAGUCCUUUGAGGGCCUGAGAGAACACAAGGUGGAGGGAGGAGUUCUUCCCUCUGGCUUUCUGCCUGCUUGAACAGGAGAGCUCAUCCCAGCUCCUCCAGCCUCAGAAUGAGAUCCACACCAUCACCUCCCCUGGCUCUUAGGCCUUCAAACUCAGACUGACUCAUGACAGGGGUCUGCCUGGGCCUCCAGCUUGGGGCAGCAGACUGGGGCUUCUCAGCUCCCGC